This 85-nucleotide transfer RNA is filed under the name Candidatus Cloacimonadota bacterium. Its description in RNAcentral is "Candidatus Cloacimonetes bacterium tRNA-Leu". It matches the Rfam family "tRNA". Rfam says of the family: Transfer RNA (tRNA) molecules are approximately 80 nucleotides in length. Their secondary structure includes four short double-helical elements and three loops (D, anti-codon, and T loops). RNAcentral also lists the same sequence under 1 other name. Lineage: Bacteria; Pseudomonadati; Candidatus Cloacimonadota. The record is from RNAcentral.
GCCGGGGUGGCGGAACUGGCAGACGCGCAUGGUUGAGGGCCAUGUGGGGUAACCUGUAGGAGUUCAAGUCUCCUCCCCGGCACCA